This 586-nucleotide ribosomal RNA is filed under the name Delisea pulchra. RNAcentral describes it as "SSU rRNA". It matches the Rfam family "Eukaryotic small subunit ribosomal RNA", at positions 577 to 1179 of the family's 1831-position model. Lineage: Eukaryota; Rhodophyta; Florideophyceae; Bonnemaisoniales; Bonnemaisoniaceae. The record is from RNAcentral.
CGCGGUAAUUCCAGCUCUGUAAGCGUAUACCAAAGUUGUUGCAGUUAAAACGCUCGUAGUCGGAAGGUUGGCGGGCGGCGUGGGGCGUCCUUACGGACGGGUCUGCGGCGGCCGCCUUUGUGGAGGGGGGCUAGAGCGAUGUUUCAUUACAUUGCACUAGUCGCUGCCACCGUUUACUGUGAAAAAAUUAGAGUGUUCAAAGCGGGCGUUUGCCAUGAAUACAUUAGCAUGGAAUAAUAGAAUAGGACCUGUGUUCUGUUUUGUUGGUUUGUGAGGCGCGGGUAAUGAUUAAGAGGGACGGUUGGGGGCAUUUGUAUUCCGGCGUCAGAGGUGAAAUUCUUGGAUUGCCGGAAGACAAACGGCUGCRAAAGCGUCUGCCAAGGACGUUUUCAUUGAUCAAGAACGAAAGUAAGGGGAUCGAAGACGAUCAGAUACCGUCGUAKUCUUUACUAUAAACGAUGAGGACUGGGGAUCGGGCGGGGCUGUUUUUGGCCCGCCCGGCACCCUUCRGGAAACCAAAGUGUUUGCUUUCUGGGGGGAGUAUGGUCGCAAGGCUGAAACUUAAAGGAAUUGACGGAAGGGCAUC